This 72-nucleotide transfer RNA is filed under the name Sus scrofa (pig). It matches the Rfam family "tRNA". Rfam says of the family: Transfer RNA (tRNA) molecules are approximately 80 nucleotides in length. The record is from Rfam by way of RNAcentral. Lineage: Eukaryota; Metazoa; Chordata; Mammalia; Artiodactyla; Suidae.
UCCUUGGUAGUCUAGCGGUUGAGAUUUCAUGCUUUUACCACUGAGGCCCAGGUUCAAUUCUUGGUCUGGGAA